CCUACGGGAGGCAGCAGUGGGGGAUAUUGCACAAUGGAGGAAACUCUGAUGCAGCGACGCCGCGUGAGGGAAGACGGUCUUCGGAUUGUAAACCUCUGUCUUUGUGGAAGAAAUGCCGGUACCCUAAGAGUCAUCUCCUGCUAACUACGUGCCAGCAGCCGCGGUAAUACGUAGGGAGCGAGCGUUGUCCGGAAUUACUGGGUGAAAAGGGAGCGUAGGCGGGCGAGAAAGUUGAAUGUUAAAUCUACCGGCUUAACUGGUAGCUGCGUUCAAAACUUCUGGUCUUGAGUGAAGUAGAGGCAGGCGGAAUUCAUAGUGUAGCGGUGAAAUGCGUAGAUAUUAGGAGGAACUCCAGUGGCGAAGGCGGCCUGCUGGGCUGUAACUGACGCUGAGGCUCGAAAGCGUGGGGAGCAAACAGGAUUAGAUACCCGGGUAGUC
RNAcentral lists this ribosomal RNA (438 nucleotides) under uncultured bacterium. RNAcentral's name for it is "partial 16S ribosomal RNA". It matches the Rfam family "Bacterial small subunit ribosomal RNA", at positions 338 to 795 of the family's 1533-position model. The record is from RNAcentral.